AGAGUUUGAUCAUGGCUCAGGAUGAACGCUAGCGGCAGGCCUAAUACAUGCAAGUCGAGGGGCAGCGGGGUAGCAAUACUGCCGGCGACCGGCGCACGGUGCGUAACACGUAUGCAACCUACCUUAAACUGGGAGAUAGCCCGGGGGAAACUCGGAUUAAUACCCCAUAAUACAUUUGGAACACAUGUUUUGAUUGUUAAAGAUUUAUCGGUUUAAGAUGGGCAUGCGUUCGAUUAGCUAGUUGGUAAGGUAAUGGCUUACCAAGGCUACGAUCGAUAGGGGGUCUGAGAGGAUGAUCCCCCACACUGGUACUGAGAUACGGACCAGACUCCUACGGGAGGCAGCAGUAGGGAAUAUUGGUCAAUGGAGGCAACUCUGAACCAGCCAUGCCGCGUGUAGGAAGAAGGCGUUCUGCGUUGUAAACUACUUUUGAUUGGGAACAAAUGACUCUUGCGAGAGUAGCUGAGUGUACCAAUAGAAUAAGCCACGGCUAACUACGUG
Molecule: ribosomal RNA, 501 nt
Filed under: uncultured bacterium
Lineage: Bacteria
Description: bacterial SSU rRNA
Rfam family: Bacterial small subunit ribosomal RNA
Source: RNAcentral